CACUUGGAUGAGGCGCACUAU
This 21-nucleotide microRNA is filed under the name Monodelphis domestica (gray short-tailed opossum). RNAcentral's name for it is "mdo-miR-7386c-5p". Lineage: Eukaryota; Metazoa; Chordata; Mammalia; Didelphimorphia; Didelphidae. The record is from miRBase by way of RNAcentral.